UGUUGAUUUAAGCAGAGUCUUUGUGCCCAGCGGAAGGAUGAGGAAAAUGUGUUACAUACUCUAUAUUGCUUUAUUUACAGUUCAAAGCUGGUAUAUUACAGAAAGACAUCUUGCCCUGCCGGAGCAGAAAAUGCAUCCUCUCUCCUCGACAGCUUGGAGAGAAUCACCACAGUGAAAAACAGGAAACCAGUGUACGUCACAUCCAGUCUCCCUUUCCCGUGAGAAACUCCAACAGUACAGACUGUGGAAUGUAAACACCUGUCUUGUGACUGCAGUUGCUGCUCAGUGAGGGAAAUAGAAACCAACAUCCUCCCCUUUCUGUGAACAUCACUGGGCAGCGUGUUCGUACAAUAUCAGUACAAACCCAACUUCUGCACAUAGGUACAGUGUUGAUCCCUUGAUACAAUCUUGGACAAUACAUCAGCAGGAAUUUCAUUACCUGGCAUAUAGGACACCGUUACGAGUCCCUUCUGAAUACAUUCCCUAGCAUGCUGCAACUUUAAUUGCAAGUGCUUUGUGCUUUGCUUACAACCUUCAGACUUCAGCAAAGCCAAACAUGCUUUGUUGUCCUGGUAAACCUGGAUUGGACAUUUGACAGGAAUUUUCAUAUCUUUGCACAAUUGUACUAACCAUUCACAAUCCUUAAGUGAAUAAGACAGUGCAUUCAGUUCAGCUUCACAAGUACUUAAGCUAACUGUUGUUUGCUUCUUGCAUGACCAAUCAAACAGACUCUGAUUGUACAUGUAGCAAACUCCAGACGUACUUUUCCUGUCUGUAGCGUCACUUCCAAAACUUGCAUCUGCAAAUAUCUCAAGACCACCAGACUUCUGAUUGUUAAAUCUCAGUCUGUAAUGCAUAGUGCCUUUCAAAUACCGCGCUAUGCGUUUCAGAGCUUUCCAAUCCUUGACACUAGGAUUGUUGACUUGUCUGCUUAGCAAAUUACAGCUAACAGCAAUGUCUGGUCUUGAACAUCUGGCAAUGAAGUUUAGCUUGCCUAGCACACUCCUGUACAGUGUAGUGUCAGAAAAUGCUUCUUCAGUGUCAUCUACCUGAUAACCUGUUGUCAUCGGUGUGUCUACAGGGUUAGCAUCCAUCAGAUUUAGUUUGCUUAACACAUCAGCAAUUUUCCGUGACUGGUGUACUAGAAUGUUACCAUCUUGAUCUCUCUCUAUUUCCAGAGAUAGGUAGUUGUUUACCUCACCAAGAUCUUUCAUGUCAAAGUGCUCUUUCAGUUGAGCUAGGGCGCUAUUGUACAUUGCAACAUCUUUCCAAAAGAAUAAUAAAUCAUCAACAUAAAACAAACAGUACAGUUUCUUUUGCCCCUCCUCUUUGACAAAUACACAUGGAUCAGCUUUCCCUUGCUGAAAACCUAGAGAAAACAAUACUUCAGUGAGUUUUGUGUGCCAACACCGUGCACUUUGUUUGAGACCAUAAAGGGAUUUCUUCAGAGCACAAACAAAUCCCUGUUUUACCUGUACGCCAUCAGGUGGAAGCAUAUAAAGUGAUUCAUCUAGAGAUCCGUACAGAAAAGCUGUAUUAAUAUCAUGGUGACUAAUGUGUAGAUUUUCCUCUGCAGCUAGCUUAAGCAUAAGCCUAAUGCUUUCAUAUCUCACUGUGGGUGAAUAGGUCUCGUGAUAGUCUUCACCUGGUACCUGUGCAAAACCUCUGGCUACCAAUCUGGCUUUGUGUCUGACUAUCUUGCCAUUUUGAUCUGUCUUCGCUUUGAAGACCCAUUUGCUUCCAAGCAGUUUCAUUCCUGGAACUACUGGAACUAGCUCCCAUGUUUUGUUCCUUUCUAAGGAAUCAAGCUCAGCCUUCAUGGCAUUUAACCAUGGCUCAGCUUCCUUUGAAUCCAAACCCUGGAUUUCUUGGAAACUUGAAGGUUCAAAUACCUUCUUGGAGCUUUUAACAGCUGUUACUGCUAUCGUAGCAAACUCAUCAGCAAAUCUCUUUGGAGGUUUGCCUUUGUGGCUCUCUGUGACCUACGAAUUAGCCUUAAGUCUUCAACACUCUCCUCUUCCUUCUUAGGAGAAAAACGACCUAUUGUGAACAAUGGUUCCUCCAAUUCUUGAUCAGAGCUUUCAGAGGGUCGCAUAGAGGCUUUCGCACUCUUGAAAUCCUCUGAAUCACCCGAUUCAGUUUCAGAUUCAGACUCAGAACCUUCAUCAGUGGGUGUGGGCUGUUGUGGUUGCUUUUGACUAUCCUCAGUCUCAUCACCGUCAUCAGGAUAACAUUGGAAAAUUCCCACAUUCUCCCCCACUUUGCAUUGUACUCAACACUUCUCGUGAGCUUAAUUGUCUUAGAGUCAGUCAUCAUUAUUCUGUAAGACCCUUUCUGAUAACCUAGAAAGAUACCAUGCAAUCCACGCUUGUCUAACUUGGAGUUUUGUGGUGAGCGAACCCACAUGUCAGAACCAAAAAUCUUCAUGUGUUUGAUGUAUGGCUUCUUGCCAAACAUCUUCUCAUAGGGGGUACAACCAAUCGCUGAAGAUAGCCUGCGAUUGUAACUGUAAACAAAACACGAGAGAGAUUCGGCCCAAUAACUCUCUGGAAGAUUGGCAUCAUGCAGCAAGGUUUUUAACCCUUGAAGCAAAGUCUGAUUUGCCCGUUCCGCAAGUCCAUUCUGCCAUGGCGAGCGAGGACUAGACAAAUCGUGUUGAAUUCCUUUCUCAGUCAGAAAAGCUUCAAACUGCUGAGAAGUGAAUUCCCCCCCGCGAUCACUGAAAAGAGUCUUUAUCUUCUUACCAUGCACAUUUUCCAACCAAGCACAGAAUUCCUUGAACCUAGGAAAAGCCUCCGAUUUCUGCUUGAGAUUGUACACAAAAAUAUAUCUAGAAAAUGCAUCAAUGAGAACCAUGAAGUAUCUAUUUCCACCCAAAGAGGGCGAUAGUGGUCCAACCAAAUCAGCAUGAACAACCUGGUAUGGUUCUGUAGCUUUCCUACUAGACACCUUACCUUUCGCAGCCAUUUUCACCUUGUUUGCUGCGCAUGCUUUGCACUUCAUGUGGUACCUGCAGGGUUUAAUAGUCAUACCUUCAACCAAGGCAGGCAUUUUAGAUACUGCCUCAAAAUGCAAAUGACCAAAUUUGCGAUGAAAAUCGUGAAUACAUUCUGCAUGCAAACUUUUGUUAGAACCUGCAAUGCAACAAGUGUCAUCCUGCACCACAUCAUCAUAAUACAAAACAAACAAAUGAUCAACAUAUUCUGCAUGCAAUACAUAAUCAUUUUUCUUUGUGAUGAUGCACUUCUUGUUCUUGAAGGAAACGUCAAUGUUCCGCUCAUUCAGCUGUCCAACGCUGAGCAGAUUAUGUUUGGCGUCUGGCACGUAAAGCACAUUCUGUAUCGAUAAGUCCAAACUGUGAAGAACAACAGUUCCGUAGCCUUUACUGGGAAUAGUGUGGUCAUCCGCCUGGUGAAUCGCACCUUCCUGCGGUGUAAAAGACACAAACAGUUUCUUAUCGUUGCACAUGUGGUGGGUGGCCGCUGAAUCAACAACGAAGAAAGAUCUAGACGUCUUCUGGACCUCUGCAACCUUUGGAGUGAAGCGUGAAACCAUAGCCUUGUGCUGCGUUGUCCUAGACACCGGACCUUUGCCUUUGCCUCGGCCUUUUCCGCGCGAUGAGCUUUCGCUGCGCUGCUCUGUCUUGGCCCUGGGAUGUCUGCAUUCCCUCUUCAUAUGGCCUAGACGUCCACAUGAGUAGCAUUUCACUGCCUUCAAAGCUUUGGCGCCAUCUGGUGGUUCCACUGCACUAUGGGAUGACGUCUGUGAAGACUCCCCUUGCCCAUGCAGCUAGCACCCCGGCGAUCUGCUUCAUUUAAAAUCACGGCAGUAACAAAGUCCACUGUCAGCUGAGCAGUUGGUUGCACAGCAAUCUGGGUUGCAACAGACUCCCAACCUGAACCCAAAGAUUGUAGUAUCAUGAAAGAAUACACAGCCUCUGGAAAGUUGAGUCCUCUCUGUUGCAGCUCAUGUCUCAGAUUUUGCAUCUGCAUCAGAUGUAAACGCACAUCUCCACCUUCAGCAAGAGCCAUAUUAUGCAGCUUGUUAAAAUAAAACAUAGUGGAUCCAGCUUCUGUCCUUAAGUGAGCCUCUCUCAGAGCGUCCCAAAUUUCUCUGGCUGAGGUCUUAUCACGCAAUAGACAGAGCUCUUCUGGGGAUACUAUCAAUGUAAGAGUUCCCCUUGCUUUGGAAUCCUUAGCUUCCCAUGCAUCUGUAACUGGAACUGGGGGUUCCUGUAAUCACCUCAAACAAACCCUCUUUCCGCAGAAUUGCCUCUGCAUACUGAACCCAGUCGCUGUAAUUUUUCUUGUUGAGCUUAGGAAUCCCACAAGCAUCCUGAAGGGCCAUCAUGACUCUGGCAUUAGCCUUCAGCGUCAUAUGCUGCUUUAAAUCUUGCUGCGUCACUGCUGCAGCUGCCUCAUUACAAAGGCACACUUAAAAGUUACUUUCGAUUUCCCAGCAUAGUGACUUGUGCCUGGGAGCCUUUUGCCUAUUCCCGCAAAACCGGCUUUAAAAGUUCAAAGUCCAGCCAUAAAGCCAUUAUCUUGAAGCUGGCAGGCUGCCCGGAGCAGUAGCACAUACCUCAUCAAUCACUUCUACGCGCAGAGCAGAUUCCUUUCCGAUCCGUCCCUCUGCAUUCCGAUCCUCUGCCGGCACUCCGAUUCGACCUCUGGAGUCCAUAACCACGUGUUGAUUUAAAGCAGAGUCUGUUGUGCCCAGCGGAAGGAUGAGGAAAAUGUGUUACAUACUCUAUAUUGCUUUAUUUACAGUUCAAAGCUGGUAUAUUACAGAAAGACAUCUUGCCUCUGCCGGAGCAGAAAAUGCAUCCUCUCUCCUCGACAGCUUGGAGAGAAUCACACAGUGAAAAACAGGAAACCAGUGUACGUCACAUCCAGUCUCCCUUUCCCGUGAGAAACUCCAACAGUACAGACUGUGGAAUGUAAACACCUGUCUUGUGACUGCAGUUGCUGCUCAGUGAGGGAAAUAGAAACCAACAC
This 4997-nucleotide long non-coding RNA is filed under the name Podarcis lilfordi (Lilford's wall lizard). Lineage: Eukaryota; Metazoa; Chordata; Lepidosauria; Squamata; Lacertidae. The record is from RNAcentral.